Molecule: ribosomal RNA, 238 nt
Filed under: Agrobacterium fabrum
Lineage: Bacteria; Pseudomonadati; Pseudomonadota; Alphaproteobacteria; Hyphomicrobiales; Rhizobiaceae
Description: partial 23S ribosomal RNA
Rfam family: Bacterial large subunit ribosomal RNA
Source: RNAcentral
CUCGUGCAUGACCGAUAGCGAACAAGUACCGUGAGGGAAAGGUGAAAAGCACCCCGACGAGGGGAGUGAAAUAGAACCUGAAACCGGAUGCCUACAAACAGUCGGAGCCCGAGCCUUUUAGUAGGUUGGGUGACGGCGUACCUUUUGUAUAAUGGGUCAACGACUUAGUGUAACUAGCAAGCUUAAGCCGGUAGGUGUAGGCGCAGCGAAAGCGAGUCUGAAUAGGGCGAUUUAGUUA